UACGUAGGGUGCAAGCGUUAAUCGGAAUUACUGGGCGUAAAGCGUGCGCAGGCGGUCCGUUAAGACAGAUGUGAAAUCCCCGGGCUUAACCUGGGAACUGCAUUUGUGACUGGCGGACUCGAGUAUGGCAGAGGGGGGGUAGAAUUCCACGUGUAGCAGUGAAAUGCGUAGAGAUGUGAAGGAAUACCGAUGGCGAAGGC
This 200-nucleotide ribosomal RNA is filed under the name uncultured bacterium. RNAcentral's name for it is "partial 16S ribosomal RNA". It matches the Rfam family "Bacterial small subunit ribosomal RNA", at positions 524 to 722 of the family's 1533-position model. The record is from RNAcentral.